Budorcas taxicolor (takin) is the source of this 652-nucleotide long non-coding RNA. RefSeq lists it as uncharacterized. The transcript is spliced from 3 exons. Lineage: Eukaryota; Metazoa; Chordata; Mammalia; Artiodactyla; Bovidae. The record is from RefSeq and is a predicted model, not a curated record.
AUCACACUUAGCUGAGCCCACAGAGGCCCUGCAGGCGGGCGCCCCGUGGCGGAGCGAGCUGAAGCUGCAGCGAAGCUGCAGCUUGGGACGAGUUAGGAGGUAAAAUGCAGCCGAGCCGUCACGAGGAAUUGCUGGCCGAGAAACGCAAGCCUCCCCAAACCCAAGACGACUGUGCCCUCAAAGCAGACCACAUGGGAUGCUGCAAACUGUCCCAGGCCAGGAAGCCACUCGGAACUGGUGUCACAGGGACAGGGAGGGAGGAGAACUGCCCCGACAAGGCUGAGCUGUAACAGAAGCAAGAAGCAGGCGUGUCUGAGAAAACCCAGCACCCACGCAAGGAAGGAGAGGAAGGUGACCCGACUGUCCGCCUCUAGAAGGGAAACCUUUCUAAAGUCAAAGUUGUUUUGGAGUAAAGCGCUGAUGUAUAAAACACGCCGUGACCUCACCCAUCGUGUCACCACAGUCUGGGCUCCAUCCUCUCUAACCUGGACUCUGUAUCAUCGCCUCCCUGGUCUCCCUCCCUCUUGCACUCCCGCUUCCCUCGCAGUCUUCAAUCCUCCACACACGGAGCAACCACGCCGACUUCAGAAUGCAAGAUCACAUCAUCCUCCAACAAGGCCUACUGUGCUUAAAGUAAAAUGUCUCCACUGUG